This 60-nucleotide transfer RNA is filed under the name Diaphanoeca grandis. The record is from RNAcentral. Lineage: Eukaryota; Choanoflagellata; Acanthoecida; Stephanoecidae.
CUGAGAUAUCUGAGCGAAAAGAUAUUUGGAUUCUUCUUACUGGACUACUUUCUGAAACAA